RNAcentral lists this long non-coding RNA (3021 nucleotides) under Taeniopygia guttata (zebra finch). Its description in RNAcentral is "lncRNA (ENSTGUG00000027632.1)". Lineage: Eukaryota; Metazoa; Chordata; Aves; Passeriformes; Estrildidae. The record is from RNAcentral.
GUUUGGACAGCUGUGGGAGCUGGGAACCAGCAGAGCAGGGAGAGCUCAGGGGGUGCAGAGCGCGGGGCAGCAGCAGUGGUGCCCUGGCAGCGCUGAGGCAGCCCCUGCUGCCAGCAGAGCUGGGUUUCACUGCCCAAAGCUUCCUCUGCAGCCCCCUGUCCUCACCCUGCAUCUUCCACCUGCUUUUCCAUCAGCACUGCAUGCAGAAUGCCUGGAUGGGAGGGCAGCAGCAGUAGGAGGCUGUGGAGCAACAGGAGGAACGCUCAGGGGCUUUGAACAGGCCAUGGAGGAGAGAAUACAGCCCACCCUGCCUGGUGCUUGUGAUCUGAUGUGAAGAAUACUCUGCUGGUGUGGUGGGAAUGCAGCGUGGUGUUUCCACACAGAUGGGCCCAACCCAAGGGCUUUUUUCCCCAAAUUUCUUAAAGUUCAAAGGAGGCACGAGGAGGGGAACGCUGGAUAUGCAACAUGCCCCCCUUGCCUCGCCAGCAGAAAUGUGCCAUGAAACCCAUCAGGUGCCUUUGGUGGGGUCCCUGGACAUGCUGUUCUGGAUCAUCCCCUGGGUGCUUCUUUUCUUCUACAAUUUCAGAAAUAAGAUUACAAAUGUGAAAUAGAUGCAGCAAUCUGAUGUUUCUGCAGCGUGAGCAGUGUCAGCGUUUGAUGUUCGGGUGUUGAGUCACCGAGGGCUCACCUUUCCCUCCGGAUGACACCGUGACAGCUGCAACCAGCAGGUGCCUGAGAGCUGGCAGUGCUUUGAUUUCAAAAAGAGAGGGUUGCUGGCACGGCAUUUUCACAAGGAGUUCCUUCUCAGCUCUGCAAGUCCUUUCACUUCUUCGCUCAAUGGGACCUUGAUUUGAUAACACUGGGAGCGUAUCACAAACGGCACAUCUGCUCUGCCAGGAUGAGCCGUGGGACUGAGCUGCAGAGCUGCUUCCUGGGGAUCCCACUUGCUUUCAGCUUCAGUUUAUCUGUGAGCUUACCCUACUAAAUUAUCAUUAGAAAUUCCACCUCUUGUGAGGCACACGGCCUUUUGAGCACACCUAACAAAACAGAAGAUGUUCCCCUCUGCUGUGCUUCGCUGGGUGUGGGGCACUGAAAGGCUGAGCAAACCACAGACCUCAGGGUGACCUUAUCACUCUCCACAGCUCCCUGAAAGGUGGCUGUGCUCAGGUGGGGUUGGGCUCUUUCUCCAGCCAGCAGUGACAGAACCAGAGGACAAAGUCUCAAGCUGCACAAAGGGACAUAUAGGUUGGAUAUUAGGAAAAAGUUUUUUACAGAAAGAGUGAUAAAGUUCUUUAUCUUUAUCUCCCUGGGCUGACCCAGGGAGGUGGUGGAGUCACCAUCCCUGGAUGUGUUUAAAAACAGACUGGAUGUGGUGCCAGGGUUUAGUUGAGGUGUUGGGGCUGGGUUGAACACCUCAGCUUGAUGCUCUUGAAAGUCUCUUCCAACCUGGUUAUUCUGUGAAUUCUGUGGUUGUUUCUGACUAAGCAAAAGCAAGCACACAGAUUUCUCUACACCAGUUCAGCCACACUCGGUUUUUCCUGUGACCUGAGUCACAGUCAAGCAUUUAUUAUGUGACAUUCACAGCGAGAGUGGCAGAAUAAAAACAGGCUAAGAAACCUAAUCCUCAGAGGAGAGCAGUAUGUUCCCACUUGGGGUUUAGUCUCGCAGUGAAGAGGCUGUUAAGGGGUUUGUGAUCCUGGAGAUUGAUGCUGGGGGGAGCCUGGGUAGAGCACAGAGCCACUGGCAGUCGUCAGCUAAAGCUGCCUGAUGAUGGCAGCUGGAGUGGCCAGAGGAAUCCUCUCCUCCAAGGAACCCAGAAGAGUUUAAGUGCUUCCAGAAAUGAAUCCAUUAGAUGCUGAUGGUGAUGGUGAUUAGCAAAAGGUACCGUGAUGACUUAAAGUAUUUCAAGUGUCAUUCAGACUGAAACCUCUUUCAGGUGAAAAGUGUUGGACACAUCAGGACUGAGCUGCAGAGACCGAUUUGGCAGAUGUGGCAGCAAAUCUGGGCAUGGAUCUCACCACUAUGUGUGAGCAAAUGCUACUGAGAGAAUUCUCCCAUUUCCUUCUCAUUUAAAAAGUCUUGACUACUUUCUGUUGUAGUGAAGGUUUUCUAAUUAUUUGAAUCUUAUGUUUCAAAUUUAAUCCAAAAGUUAGGUCAUGGCAUAAGCUAUGGCAAAAUCUGUGUGGUAAAGGGGUUAAUUUGACACUACAGGGAUUUGAGCUUACAGCUUGAGUGAUUUAAAACACUGGAGCAACCUGGUCUAGUGGAAGGUGUCCCUGCCAUGGGAGGGGUUGGAACUGGAUAAUCUUUAAGGUCUCUUCCAACACAAACCAUCUGUGAUUCUGUGACACUGUUGUCCUCUGUAUUCUUUGAGACUCUCUGUACAUCAUCCAGCCACCAAAGUGAGAAUUUCUUCACAUGUGGUUAAAUCCACUUAUUUCUAGACAACCCUGACUUUCUUCAGUAAUUUAUUCUUCUUGGUAAAUAAUGCCUGCAAUCCUUGCAUAUUGGUCAAGCAUUUUUGGUCAAAGAGGUUGAAUAAACAGCCACGAAUCCUGCUGGGCAGCUGAACCAUCCCAGCACUGGCCCUUGAGGAAAUGAUGUUUGAGCAAAUGAUGUUUGUCAGGCAAAGUGAUUAAAGUCAGAUUUUAGAAAUUCUGGUCGUAUCACUCCAGUCCAUCUGCGUCUACCCUAAUGCACUGCAAGGGUGUGCCUGAAAUUAAAUUAAGGACGUGUACUCAGUCUUUCCCAAACUAUUUGUGGAACAGCAAUCUGCUGCUGGAGCCAGGUCCAGGACAGAAGUGCCUGUUAACCCUAAGCUGUAAGAUGAUGGUAACAACAUUAUGACUAGAAAAAUGCAGAGGAAAAUAAUGCUUAGUAUCAGAUGAGCUCACAGAUGUUGCAGACAGUAAACAAAAGGGGAAAUUAUAACCCAGUCAUUACAUUUUCACAAUGAUAUUUUCACCAUAUGUAAACAAGGCCAUUUUCACAUAUAGAAACAAAGUGCCUGUGAUUGUGAAG